UACCACAUCUAAGGAAGGCAGCAGGCGCGCAAAUUACCCAAUCCUAAUACAGGGAGGUAGUGACAAGAAAUAACAAUACAGGACUUUUUGGUUUUGUAAUUGGAAUGAGUUAAGUAUAAACCCCUUUACAAGUAUCAAUUGGAGGGCAAGUCUGGUGCCAGCAGCCGCGGUAAUUCCAGCUCCAAUAGCGUAUAUUAAAGUUGUUGCAGUUAAAAAGCUCGUAGUUGGAUUUCUGUUAAUAAUUUAUAUAAAAUAUUUUGAAUAUUUAUAUAACAUUAACAUAAUUCAUAUUACUAUAUUUUUUAGUAUAUGAAAUUUUACUUUGAGAAAAUUAGAGUGCUUAAAGCAGGCAUAUGCCUUGAAUACUCCAGCAUGGAAUAAUAUUAAAGAUUUUUAUCUUUCUUAUUGGUUCUAAGAUAAGAAUAAUGAUUAAUAGGGACAGUUGGGGGCAUUUGUAUUUAACAGUCAGAGGUGAAAUUCUUAGAUUUGUUAAAGACAAACUAAUGCGAAAGCAUUUGCCAAGGAUGUUUUCAUUAAUCAAGAACGAAAGUUAGGGGAUCGAAGACGAUCAGAUACCGUCGUAGUCUUAACCAUAAACUAUGCCAACUAG
RNAcentral lists this ribosomal RNA (610 nucleotides) under Cryptosporidium parvum. Its description in RNAcentral is "SSU rRNA". It matches the Rfam family "Eukaryotic small subunit ribosomal RNA", at positions 408 to 1049 of the family's 1831-position model. The record is from RNAcentral. Lineage: Eukaryota; Apicomplexa; Conoidasida; Eucoccidiorida; Cryptosporidiidae.